RNAcentral lists this ribosomal RNA (246 nucleotides) under Bacillus mycoides. RNAcentral describes it as "16S rRNA. Bacterial SSU". It matches the Rfam family "Bacterial small subunit ribosomal RNA", at positions 1 to 233 of the family's 1533-position model. The record is from RNAcentral. Lineage: Bacteria; Bacillati; Bacillota; Bacilli; Caryophanales; Bacillaceae.
CUUUAUUGGAGAGUUUGAUCCUGGCUCAGGAUGAACGCUGGCGGCGUGCCUAAUACAUGCAAGUCGAGCGAAUGGAUUAAGAGCUUGCUCUUAUGAAGUUAGCGGCGGACGGGUGAGUAACACGUGGGUAACCUACCCAUAAGGCUGGGAUAACUCCGGGAAACCGGGGCUAAUACCGGAUAAUAUUUUGAACUGCAUAGUUCGAAAUUGAAAGGCGGCUUCGGCUGUCACUUAUGGAUGGACCCG